Molecule: ribosomal RNA, 253 nt
Filed under: uncultured bacterium
Lineage: Bacteria
Description: partial 16S ribosomal RNA
Rfam family: Bacterial small subunit ribosomal RNA
Source: RNAcentral
UACGUAGGGGGCAAGCGUUGUCCGGAUUUAUUGGGCGUAAAGAGUUCGUAGGUGGUUCGUUAAGUCUGAUGUUAAAGACUGGGGCUCAACCCUGGAAGUGCAUUGGAUACUGGCGGACUUGAGUGUGGUAGAGGCAAUCGGAAUUCCCGGUGUAGCGGUGAAAUGCGUAGAGAUCGGGAAGAACAUCGGUGGCGAAAGCGCUCUGCUGGACUGCAACUGACACUCAGGGACGAAAGCUAGGGGAGCGAAUGGG